RNAcentral lists this ribosomal RNA (511 nucleotides) under uncultured bacterium. RNAcentral describes it as "bacterial SSU rRNA". It matches the Rfam family "Bacterial small subunit ribosomal RNA", at positions 8 to 518 of the family's 1533-position model. The record is from RNAcentral.
AGAGUUUGAUUAUGGCUCAGGAUGAACGCUAGCUACAGGCUUAACACAUGCAAGUCGAGGGGUAGCAGGGUAGCAAUACCGCUGACGACCGGCGCACGGGUGAGUAACACGUAUCCAACCUCCCAUAACUCAGGGAUAGCCUUUCGAAAGAAAGAUUAAUACCUGAUAGUACUUUUUCAAGGCAUCUUGAAAAAGUUAAAGAUUUAUGGUUAUGGAUGGGGAUGCGUUCCAUUAGAUAGUUGGUGAGGUAACGCUCACCAAGUCUUCGAUGGAUAGGGGUUCUGAGAGGAAGGUCCCCCACAUUGGUACUGAGACACGGACCAAACUCCUACGGGAGGCAGCAGUGAGGAAUAUUGGUCAAUGGGCGAGAGCCUGAACCAGCCAAGUAGCGUGAAGGAAUGAAGGUCCUAUGGAUUGUAAACUUCUUUUAUAGUAGAAUAAAGUGAUCCACGUGUGGAUUUUUGUAUGUAUACUAUGAAUAAGGAUCGGCUAACUCCGUGCCAGCCGCGGC